Molecule: ribosomal RNA, 827 nt
Filed under: Penicillium polonicum
Lineage: Eukaryota; Fungi; Ascomycota; Eurotiomycetes; Eurotiales; Aspergillaceae
Description: LSU rRNA
Rfam family: Eukaryotic large subunit ribosomal RNA
Source: RNAcentral
AAAAGAAACCAACAGGGAUUGCCCCAGUAACGGCGAGUGAAGCGGCAAGAGCUCAAAUUUGAAAGCUGGCUCCUUCGGGGUCCGCAUUGUAAUUUGCAGAGGAUGCUUCGGGAGCGGUCCCCAUCUAAGUGCCCUGGAACGGGACGUCAUAGAGGGUGAGAAUCCCGUAUGGGAUGGGGUGUCCGCGCCCGUGUGAAGCUCCUUCGACGAGUCGAGUUGUUUGGGAAUGCAGCUCUAAAUGGGUGGUAAAUUUCAUCUAAAGCUAAAUAUUGGCCGGAGACCGAUAGCGCACAAGUAGAGUGAUCGAAAGAUGAAAAGCACUUUGAAAAGAGAGUUAAAAAGCACGUGAAAUUGUUGAAAGGGAAGCGCUUGCGACCAGACUCGCUCGCGGGGUUCAGCCGGCAUUCGUGCCGGUGUACUUCCCCGCGGGCGGGCCAGCGUCGGUUUGGGCGGUCGGUCAAAGGCCCUCGGAAGGUAACGCCCCUAGGGGCGUCUUAUAGCCGAGGGUGCAAUGCGACCUGCCUAGACCGAGGAACGCGCUUCGGCUCGGACGCUGGCAUAAUGGUCGUAAGCGACCCGUCUUGAAACACGGACCAAGGAGUCUAACAUCUACGCGAGUGUUCGGGUGUCAAACCCGUGCGCGAAGUGAAAGCGAACGGAGGUGGGAACCCUUACGGGUGCACCAUCGACCGAUCCUGAAGUCUUCGGAUGGAUUUGAGUAAGAGCGUAGCUGUUGGGACCCGAAAGAUGGUGAACUAUGCCUGAAUAGGGCGAAGCCAGAGGAAACUCUGGUGGAGGCUCGUAGCGGUUCUGACGUGCAAAUCGAU